This 399-nucleotide ribosomal RNA is filed under the name uncultured bacterium. RNAcentral describes it as "partial 16S ribosomal RNA". It matches the Rfam family "Bacterial small subunit ribosomal RNA", at positions 338 to 735 of the family's 1533-position model. The record is from RNAcentral.
CCUACGGGUGGCAGCAGUGAGGAAUAUUGGUCAAUGGACGGAAGGCUGAACCAGCCAAGCAGCGUGAAGGACGAAGGUCCUACGGAUUGUAAGCUUCUUUUGUAAGGGGACAAAAUCCGCCACGAGCGUAUGACUGAGGGUACUUGAAGAACAAGCCUCGGCUAACUCCGUGCCAGCAGCCGCGGUAAUACGGCGGAUGCGCGCGUUAUCCGGAUUUAUUGGGGUUAAAGGGUGCGUAGGAGGGCUGUUAAGUCAGCGGUAAAAGCCCGGGGUUCAACCCCGCCGAGCCGGUGAAACUGGCUGUCUUGAGAUGUCGACAGGUAUGCGGAAUGCGUAGUGUAGCGGUGAAAUGCUUAGAUAUUACGAAGAACUCCGAUUGCGAAGGCAGCAUACCGGCGU